Molecule: ribosomal RNA, 492 nt
Filed under: uncultured bacterium
Lineage: Bacteria
Description: partial 16S ribosomal RNA
Rfam family: Bacterial small subunit ribosomal RNA
Source: RNAcentral
AGUGAACGCUGGCGGUAGGCCUAACACAUGCAAGUCGAACGGCAGCACAGUAAGAGCUUGCUCUUACGGGUGGCGAGUGGCGGACGGGUGAGGAAUACAUCGGAAUCUACUUUUUCGUGGGGGAUAACGUAGGGAAACUUACGCUAAUACCGCAUACGACCUACGGGUGAAAGCAGGGGAUCUUCGGACCUUGCGCGAUUGAAUGAGCCGAUGUCGGAUUAGCUAGUUGGCGGGGUAAAGGCCCACCAAGGCGACGAUCCGUAGCUGGUCUGAGAGGAUGAUCAGCCACACUGGAACUGAGACACGGUCCAGACUCCUACGGGAGGCAGCAGUGGGGAAUAUUGGACAAUGGGCGCAAGCCUGAUCCAGCCAUACCGCGUGGGUGAAGAAGGCCUUCGGGUUGUAAAGCCCUUUUGUUGGGAAAGAAAAGCAGCAGGCUAAUACCCCGCUGUUCUGACGGUACCCAAGGAAUAAGCACCGGCUAACUUCGUG